This is a long non-coding RNA of Xiphophorus hellerii (green swordtail), 150 nucleotides long. RefSeq lists it as uncharacterized. The record is from RefSeq and is a predicted model, not a curated record. Lineage: Eukaryota; Metazoa; Chordata; Actinopteri; Cyprinodontiformes; Poeciliidae. The transcript is spliced from 3 exons.
GCAGCAGGCAGGGGGCAGCAGAGAGACGUGUUUACUACUGAGGAAGACAGAUGAUUUAUGGGAAUUAUUACCUCAGAGCCGCUUUCAAGGUUUUCACCUUUUAAAAACGGUUUUUGUGUGUGUCUGUGUCUGGUUCAUUUUUUGGUUAAA